Molecule: unclassified non-coding RNA, 570 nt
Filed under: Hevea brasiliensis (rubber tree)
Lineage: Eukaryota; Viridiplantae; Streptophyta; Magnoliopsida; Malpighiales; Euphorbiaceae
Source: RNAcentral
CGGGUCCUUUCUCAUCAGUGACGAGAGAGAGCAGACCAUGGUCCAAUAGUCUUGUUUCAGACAUUGGAAAUCACUAUCCGCAGAAAUUUCUCCCUCGAAAACUCGAAGAAGAUGUUAUCCAUGGCAAUUCAAUCUGGUGUUAGGAGUGUUUUCACGCAAUUCCCAUUUCCUUGUCAGACCAUCAGUUGCAAGAGAAUCAAAACUAGCAUUUUCAUUGGUCCCAAACCCAAUGCAGCCAUUAUUGACCCAAAAAUCAGACCCAUUUCCAGAAACCAAAGAUUAAAAGGUUUUGCAGCGCCAGAAGCUCUGGCGGCUAAAACAACCAAUGAAGCAGAAGAAACCACGGAAGUGGAAGAAGAACCAAUCCCUGACCAAGGAAAAGAGAGAGUUGAAGUGUCGGUGAAGCAAGCGGAUAAACCAAGGCUGGUGCUGAAGUUCAUAUGGAUGGAGAAGAAUAUUGGGCUGGCUCUUGAUCAGGUAAUUCCUGGACAUGGUACUGUUCCCUUGAGUCCAUACUACUUCUGGCCAAGAAAGGAUGCAUGGGAAGAGCUCAAGACCACUCUAGAGAGC